Non-coding RNA from Paramormyrops kingsleyae, 316 nucleotides. The record is from RefSeq and is a predicted model, not a curated record. Lineage: Eukaryota; Metazoa; Chordata; Actinopteri; Osteoglossiformes; Mormyridae.
CUUUGGACUCAUGCCGCACCUUUUGCGCCUCGUCGCGAUCAUUUGCCGCCUGGAGAAGCAGCGCGUCGUUGUUCUCGGUCCACUCCUCCGGGGAGUACUUGGUGCACCGAUACCCCGAAGUAGAAAAGCCGGCGGACGGUUGCCAGGAUCCCGCGUUACCAAGGACGCGAUACGGUUGCCCAGCGGUCCGAUAGCCGUCCGUCCAUCCAUCCAUCCAUCCAUCCAUCCACUGGUGUAUUAAACUUUAAAAAUGUUUAAAAAUGUUAUCUACAGAUGCACACGCGGGAAUAUUACUUCAAUAAACGUGUUUAUCGCU